CCAUUUUUGUCCGACCGGGCCCGUUCCCACGGGCCGUUCCAGCGGCUGCCGCCCCCCGCUCGAGCCCACUCUCUCCGAGCCCCCUCCCCCGGGUCCCCCCCCGACCCUCCUCCCAGCUCAGCCCCGGGGCUGGACAGGCUCCCGGGGGGGGGGUUUCGUUGCCUCGGGAGGGGGGUAAAGCUUGUCCUUCCUGCCAGACCUCCCCCUCCAACACCCUGCUCCCCGCAAGCUGCCGGUGGGGAGGGCGCGCCGGAGCUGGGGAGGGGUGGGGAUGAUGCUCCCGGGCUCGUCGCGGGUGUGGAGGAAGGAGCGGGUGCCCCUCGGGGUGGUCCCCAGCCCGCAGGAGUGUUUUGGGGGUGGGUGAGGAGGGGGUCGGGCCGGGGGUGAUGCUGUUUUGGCGCUGCUGGAGCCCCUCAUCGUGUCCACGGGUCGGGUCUGGCAGGAGAGGAAGACGCAGGUGGUCUCCAACCAGCGGCGAAUCCCGCAGCCUCUCCAGAGCCCUCCCGACACCGCUCCCACCCGCAAACCCCGGGGGCAUCCUCGGAGCUCCGAUCUCCUCCAUCCCACCGCUCCUUCCCGGGAAACGACCCAGGUGAGGAGGAGGAAGAGGGAGGUCUGAGCCUUUCUCUCCCACCCCGGGAUCACCCAGAGCACAGGAAAGCUCCCAGGCACCUGACCAGGAAAAUCAAGGUGUUGACCCAGGUGUGUGCUGGUGCUGGCAGUCCUGGCAAGGGUUAAUUCACCCAUUUUUUUGGGGAAAAACCUUUGGGAUUGGUGCUGCUGGACUGGUGGUGGGAUGGCAUCUGCUAAACCUCUCCCUGUCCCCUGGGGUCUUGUCCCUUGGGGGCUUUGGGGAGGAAGGGGGACAGUUGAGGUGCUGGAACACAACUGGGCCCGCUGGGAGCAACUGCUGGGGAGGAAGGAGGGUGUUCCCAUCCUGACCCCGUCCCUACAACCACUCCCAUGGAUCACCCUGGAGCAGUGCAUCCCUCAGUGUCUCAGCCGAGGCUGAGAACAUUCCACAUCGUAGAGUUAAUUUUCCCUUCCUGCCAGCUCUUCCCUAUUAACGCCAGGAUCUUGUGGGUGGUGCAAAACCCGGUAAUUAUCUGCUUUUUACUAUAAAAGAUGGAAUUCUCCUCCCCAGCCAGUGCGGAGACUACGCAGAGAGAAUCCCUGGGAAUGCUGGGGUUAAGUUUCCAUGGGUGAGAUCCCUCUCCCUGAGGGCAGGAGGAGCAGGAGCUGGGAUUUGCCAAGGGCAGGUGCUCUGGAUGAAGUGGGACACUGCUGGGGAUGAGGUGGAUGGGCAGGUCUGGCUGCCCUGCCCAGGGUGACAGAGUGACACAAACCCAGCCACCAGGUGGGGUUGAAUCCAGUGAGGAAUCAACACUUCCAGGCCACGGAGAGGCUGCCACGGACUUUUUGCCUGCUUGGGAGCCAUCCCAAGGUCUGCAGGGCUCAAGAUCCCGCCGGGAGAAUGUGCCCCUUGCUCAGAUCCCAGGGGAGAACGUGCCCCUGCUCCUGCGUGGCAGUUAAAUACAUAUAAAUAUAUAUAUUCUAUAUAUUUAGCAUCCCUGCUCCGGGUAACCGUGGCAACGGGGUUUAUUUUGCUUAAACCUGGCCCGGCAUGUGAUGCAGUUGGGAAGGAACAGCCGAGGGCAGAGGGAGGGAUGAAGUUUUCCAUGCUGGGAGCUGGGGAGGAGCCGUGGCACGGGAUGUGGCACGGGAUGCUCUCGGGGGGCCUCGCUCUGUCCCUCCAAACAGCCCCACUGGGGCAUUCCCAUGGCCUGCCAGGGCUCUGUCCCAUUCCCUUUGCUUCAGCCAGG
This is a long non-coding RNA of Lepidothrix coronata (blue-crowned manakin), 1823 nucleotides long. RefSeq lists it as uncharacterized. The record is from RefSeq and is a predicted model, not a curated record. The transcript is spliced from 3 exons. NCBI's taxonomy places the organism in Eukaryota, Metazoa, Chordata, Aves, Passeriformes, Pipridae.